Molecule: ribosomal RNA, 253 nt
Filed under: uncultured bacterium
Lineage: Bacteria
Description: partial 16S ribosomal RNA
Rfam family: Bacterial small subunit ribosomal RNA
Source: RNAcentral
UACAGAGGGUGCGAGCGUUAAUCGGAAUUACUGGGCGUAAAGGGCGCGUAGGCGGCCUGUUAAGUCGAACGUGAAAUCCCCAGGCUCAACCUGGGAACUGCGUCCGAAACUGGCAGGCUUGAAUCCGGGAGAGGGAUGUGGAAUUCCAGGUGUAGCGGUGAAAUGCGUAGAUAUCUGGAGGAACAUCGGUGGCGAAGGCGACAUCCUGGACCGGUAUUGACGCUGAGGCGCGAAAGCCAGGGGAGCAAACGGG